This 229-nucleotide ribosomal RNA is filed under the name uncultured bacterium. RNAcentral describes it as "partial 16S ribosomal RNA". It matches the Rfam family "Bacterial small subunit ribosomal RNA", at positions 104 to 334 of the family's 1533-position model. The record is from RNAcentral.
CGGGGUGAGUAAUGUCUGGGAAACUGCCUGAUGGAGGGGGAUAACUGCUGGAAACGGUAGCUAAUACCGCAUAACGUCGCAAGACCAAAGAGGGGGACCUUCGGGCCUCUUGCCAUCGGAUGUGCCCAGAUGGGAUUAGCUAGUAGGUGGGGUAACGGCUCACCUAGGCGACGAUCCCUAGCUGGUCUGAGUGGAUGGCCAGCCACACUGGAACUGAGACACGGUCCAG